Molecule: ribosomal RNA, 416 nt
Filed under: uncultured beta proteobacterium
Lineage: Bacteria; Pseudomonadati; Pseudomonadota; Betaproteobacteria
Description: bacterial SSU rRNA
Rfam family: Bacterial small subunit ribosomal RNA
Source: RNAcentral
GAGUUUGAUCUUGGCUCAGAUUGAACGCUGGCGGCAUGCCUUACACAUGCAAGUCGAACGGCAGCACGGGCUUCGGCCUGGUGGCGAGUGGCGAACGGGUGAGUAAUACAUCGGAACGUGCCCUGUUGUGGGGGAUAACCAGUCGAAAGAUUGGCUAAUACCGCAUACGACCUGAGGGUGAAAGCGGGGGACCGCAAGGCCUCGCGCAGCAGGAGCGGCCGAUGUCUGAUUAGCUAGUUGGUGGGGUAAAGGCCCACCAAGGCGACGAUCAGUAGCUGGUCUGAGAGGACGAUCAGCCACACUGGGACUGAGACACGGCCCAGACUCCUACGGGAGGCAGCAGUGGGGAAUUUUGGACAAUGGGGGCAACCCUGAUCCAGCAAUGCCGCGUGUGUGAAGAAGGCCUCGGUUGUAAG